RNAcentral lists this long non-coding RNA (22303 nucleotides) under Homo sapiens (human). RNAcentral describes it as "non-protein coding lnc-GSN-2:4". Lineage: Eukaryota; Metazoa; Chordata; Mammalia; Primates; Hominidae. The record is from RNAcentral.
AGGGCGGAAGCCACGGGACGUGGAGCAGAUGGUGAGGAUAGUGGGGAGGUAGCAGCAGAGGAUGACCCGAGGCAAAAGUGCAAGUGAAGAAAAGUCGCCUUGCCGGGCAGAGGUACGGGACCAAGGCGCCUCCUCUGGGCUGAGGAGUUAGAGGGAAGAAAAUGGCGCCCUGUCAUGAGGGCGCGAGGUCCGAGUUGAGGGGAGAAGACUGAGGGACACAGAAGUGGCCGAAGUGAGGGCGCUGAGGUCAGCCUGAGCUGAGAGGGCCGGCAGAUCACGCCGCAGCCGAAGUGAACGAACUCGAGUGAGAUGGAAUGUUGCUCUGUCACCCAGGCUGGAGUGCAAUGGCAUGAUCUCGACUCACUGCAACCUCUGCCUCCUGGGUUCAAGCAAUUCUUCGGCCUCAGCCUCCCGAGUAGCUGGGACUACAGGCACCUGCCACCACGCCUGGCUAAUUUUUUGUAUUUUUAGUAGAGACGGGGUUUCACUGUGUUAGCCAGGAUGGUCUCGAUCUCCUAACCUCGUGAUCCACCUGCCUUGGCCUCCCAAAGUGCUGGGAUUACUGGCGUGAGCCACCACGCCUGGCCGUUCCGUAUUUCCUUUAUGUUUUAUUUUGCUGUUAUUUGCCUAGCAUAUUCAAGGUACCAAAUUAAGUAUUGAUUGAUGGUAAUAGUGAUAACAUUAAGACUUGGAGAUCAGGUUAAAGACAGAUAUGCACCAUGAAUCCGUAAUUGAAUAAGACAGAAGGAAAUUUAAUUAGCCUUUUUCCUGUGUCCAUAGCAGUGCUUUAAUAAGAACAAUAGAAAAGUCUUUUUUUUUUCCUUUAAAUUGCUAAUCCAGGAUGUUUUCGAUGCUUUUAUGGAAGUCAGCUAACUAAAUACCUUGAGAGAACAGCAAUACCAUCAAAUUACAUCUGUCUGUGACAUUUUCUCUAGGAUGGGACUAACAAAUUUGAUCUGUUUUUUUUUAAUAUGUAUUAAUUCACACUUAUUGCAUUACAACAAGGUUUUUGUCUUCUUAGCUCUUCUCUUUUUCAGGAAAUUACUCCAGGAUUUGAAUCAUCACAAGAGAUUCACCAGAGGAUUUUAUACACUUGGGCUGUGGCAGCAGACUAAUUACAUCACAGCACUAGGUAAGAUACCGGGAGUCCGGAUCCUCAGGACUUAUGAAAAUAAAAAGCAUUACUGUAAUAUUAGUGCUAUUUAUUGGAGUUAUCUAUGAAAAGAAUCUUAUUAAUCUGCUUUUUUAUUAGCUCACUUAGCAAAUAUUUAUUGCAUACCAACUAUGUGCCAGGCAUUGUUCCAGGUGUUUGGGCCACAUCAGGGACCAAAAAAGACCAAAAUUCCUGUCCUCGUGGAUCUCACAUUCUAGUAUUCCUUUCCAUAUGCAUUAGCUUGCUAGGGUUUCCAUAACAAAAUAUGACAGACUGGGUAGCUUAAACAACAGGAAUUAAAUUUUUUUUUUUUUUUUUUUUACACUUCUAGAGGCUAGAAGUGCAAGAACAAGAUGUUAGCAGGGUUGGUUUCUCCUAAGGACCAUGAAGGAAGGAUCUGUUCCAGGCCUCUGUCUUUGACUUGUAGAUAAAUGUCUUCUUCCUGUGUCUUCACAUUGUUUUUUGUUUGUGUGUCCGUGUCCAAAUUUCUUCUUCUUAGAAGGAUACCAGUCAUAUUCAAUUAGAGUCCAUCCUAAUGACUUCAUUUUAACUUAAUUACCUCUUUAAAGAUCCUUUAUCCCAAGAUAGUCACAUGCUGAGAUAUAUGGUGUUAGGACUUCAACAUGUGAAUUUUGGGGGAACACAGCCCAUAAUAUCACAUAUGAUUACUGUGUAUCCACAUCUUUGUGUUGUCUGUGUUCUCCUAUCCACAUCCCUGAGAUAUCCAAAGCCAUUUAUGUUUACUUGCAAAAUGUGUCCAGUGACCUGUAAUUAUGAGUGAUUACUUUUCUAGGUAUGACUUAUUAUUUUGAAAGUUUUACUUUUUAAUUGACAUAUAAUAGAGGUAUAAAUUUUCAGGGCACAUGUGAUUAUUAAAUACAUUUGUAUAAUUUGUAAAGGUCAAAUCAGUGUAAUUGGGAUAUCUAUCACCUUGUUUGUUUUUUAUUUAUGUUAGAAACAUUUGAAUUAUUCUCUUUUCGCUAUUUUGAAAUAUACAAGACAUAAUUUAAUUUUAAGCUAUACUAAAAAGUUCUUGGUUAGGAAGGAUUAUUCUACUUGGAAUGAUGCUCCAUCUAGUGUUCACCAUAUUCUACUACUUUUGUUAAAGUUUUAAAAAUGAAUAAAGGGGAAACUGUGUUGAAGAAGGGGUCCUCUAUUUAACAGUUAGGUUCUUACUCACAGAGCACUAUGGAUUCAUAGUAAAAAAAAAAAUAUUGUUUCAAAUACCAUAUGUGGGAGGAAAGAGCGGUCUAUAUAAGACAUUACUUUUAAUAAUUCAAGAAAUAUCGUUACCAUCAUUUACUGUCACCACCAGUUACGAUGUACUUUUAUCCCAUGAGGAGACUGAGACUGAGUUUAGUCAUUUACCCAAAAUUUCACAGAUCUUGGUCAGGUACAAGUCAGUGAUGGAGAUAUUGUUUGCCCUACAUACACUGUGUAAUUCCUGAAUUUGAACUCCUAAUUAUUCAGAAUAAAUAAAAAGAGACAAAAAGACACAAACUUGUCCUGAUGCACUUUUUAGAUAUGAACACAUGUAAGCAUAUACCUAAUUGGGUACUGAAGUUUCCCUUCAAUUUUAGUACAUUUUAAUCCUUGUCUUAUAUUGAAAUGUUAUCUUUUUGUUCAGUAUUUUAUCAUUGUUGAUGUGCUGUGUCAGAAUGUGUCUGUCCAUCUUAGAUAGUAAAUUUAUAAAUGACAGGACUUAAUCCACAACCAAAUCAGCAUAUUAUAGUUUAUUUCAUUGUAUAUCUUGAAUGAAAUUGAAAAAUUUAAAUAACUAUUUAAAAGUUUGGACUUUCCUCUUUGUAGUUUUAAAACAUAAUUUUUGUUUUUCUCUUGUACAAGUUGAAUGGGGCAGCUUGACUGCUUGGAGACAUCAGGAAAGACUUCCAGGGAAACAGGAGUUUAGUAGGAUAAACAUGGCUUACAAUAGGAUGCUUCAGGAAUACAGAAAGGUCCUUGUAAAUUCAUAGGCGUGUGUCAGAGCUUGACACUUUUGGGUAAAUGUAAGUAGUAACAGUGCAGGCAGUGGUGUUGAAAAAUGACAGUGGAUUAAAAGGCAUAGCCUAAACUUAAAAGAUAACUAUGAAGCUGCUCAAAGAGCUUAACAAUGGGAGUGGAAUGAACAUAUUGGACUUAUCAAAAUAUUAUAUAAUGGACAAUCUAAAUAGGCUUAUAUAUAUUAAAUAAUUGAAUUAAUAAUGAUAAUUUCUAGAACAGAAAGCACCAAGUCCAGAUGGGCUCAUUGGCAAAUCCUACCAAAUAUUUAAGAAAAAUAUUGUACCAAUGCUCUAUAAUCUUUCAGAAGACAGAAGCAGAGGAAACAUUUCCUAACUCAUUUUAUGAGGCCAUAAUUACUCUAAUAUCUAAUACCAAAAUCAGACAGAGACAUUAGAAAAAAAGAAAACUACAGACAAAUAUGGCUUAUGAACAUAGAUGCAAAAGUCCUCAACAAAAUAUUAGCAAAUCCAAUCCAAUGAUGUAUAAAGAUAAUUAUGCAUUAUGACCAAGUGCAGUUUAUUCUAAUAAUGCAAAUCUGGUUCACCAUUUGAAAAUCAAUUAAUGUAAUCUGUCAUAUCAACAGGCUAAAGAAGAAAAAUCACAUGAUCAUAUCAAUAGAUGCAGAAAAAGCAUCUGACAAAAACCAGCUCUCAUUCAUGAUCAGAACUCUCAGCAAACUAGUAAUAGAGGGGAACUUACUCAACUUGAUAAAGAACAUAUGCAAAAAUCUUUCAGCUAACAUCGUACUUAAUGGUAAGAAAUUGAAGCUUUCCCACUAAGAUCAGGAGCAAGGCAAGGACGUCUCCUUUGACCAACCCUUUUCAACAUCAUAUUUAUUGGAAGUCCUAGCUAAUGCAAUAAGACAAGAAAAAGAAGUAAAAAGUAUACAGAUUGGGAAGAAGAAAAUAGAACUGCCUUUGUUUGCAGAUGACAUGAUUAUCUAUGUAGAAAAUCUGAAAGAAUUGACCAAAAAAACCCUCCUGGAGCUAAUAAGCAAUGAUAACAAGGUGGCAAAAAUAGGUUGAUAUACAAAAGUUAAUUGCUUUCCUAUAUGCCAGCAACAAACAAAUGAGAUUUGAAAUUAAAACCAAAAUCCCAUUUACAAUAAUACCCCCAACUUAAAUACUUAGGCAUAAAACUAACAAAAAUAUGUAAGACCUUUAUAAGGGAAGUUAUAAAACUCUGAUGAACAUAUAAAAAGCUAAAUAAAGGAGAGAGAUUCCAUGUUUAUGGAUAGGAAGACUCAAUAUUACCAAGACAUCACUUCUUCCCAACUUGAUGUAUAGAUCCAAGGCAGACCAAACCAAAAUCCCAGAAAAUAAUUUCCUGGAUAUUAACAGAAUCUUUUUUUUUUUUUUUUUUUUUCCUGAAACGGAGUCUCACUGUGUUGCCCAGGCUGGAGUGCAGUGGGGCGAUCUCGGCUCACUGCAAGCUCCGCCUCCCAGGUUCACACCAUUCUCCUGCCUCAGCUUCCCGAGUAGCUGGGACUACAGGCGCCCGCCACCACGCCCGGCUAAUUUUUUGUAUUUAUAGUAGAGAUGGGGUUUCACCCUGUUCACCGGGAUGGUCUCAAUCUCCUGACCUCGUGAUCCCCCCGCCUCGGCCUCCCAAAGUGCUGGGAUUGCAGGCGUGAGCCACUGUGCCCGGCCUAUUAACAGAUUCUUAAGUUUAUAAGGACAGGCAAAAGACCUAGUAUAGCAAACAUAAUAUUGAAGAAGCACAAAGUUGGAGGACUGUCACUACCUGACUUCAAGACUUACUAUAAAGCUACAGUAAUAAGGACAGUAUGGUAUUUGCAAAAUAAUAGAAAAAUAGAUCAAUGGAACAGAAUAGAGAGCACAGGUAUAGACCCAUACAAAUACUAUCAACUGAUUUUUUUUAUAAAGGAGCAAAGGGAAUACAAUGGAGAAAAGAUAAGUUUUCAACAAAUGGUGCUGAACAAGGGGAUGUUCACAUGCAAAAAGAUGAAUCUAGACACAGAUCUUAAACUUCACAAAAAUCAGCUCAAAAUGGAUUAUAGACUGAAAUGUAAAAUGCUAAACUAUGAAACUCCUAGAAGAUAACAGAAGAAAAUCUAGAUGACCUUGGGUUUGAGGUGAAUAUUUUAGAUCCAACACCAAAGGCAUGAUCCAUGAAAGAAAUAAUUGAUAAGUUGUACUUCAUUAAAUUAAAAACGUUUAAUCUGUGAAAGCACUGUCAAGAGAAUGAAAUGACAAGCCACAGACUGGGAGAAAACAUUUGCAAAAUACAUUUGAUAAAGGACUGGGGUCCAAAGUACUCUAAAAACUCACCAAAGAAGACAUACAGAUAGCAAAUAAGCAUAUGAAAUUGUCGACAUUGUAUGCCAUUAGCAAAUUGCAAAUUAAAACGAGAUACCACUACAUACAUAUUAGAAUGGCUCAAAUGCAAAACAUUAACAACAUCAAAUGCCAAAUGCUGGUGCAGCAAGAACUCUUCAUUCAUUGCUGGUGGGAAUGCAUAAUGGUAGAGCCGUUACACAGUGCCAAUCAUAAUCCGAAAGACAAAAUCCCAAAUGCCAUAAUCUCAAAUGCCUAUGAAGUGUUCGGUUGUGUUUUUAUGUUUCUCAAACAAACCUCCUUUACAAAUGUAAGUAAAUGUCUUUAAAAAAUUGUUUUUUAAUUAUCUUUCCAGAAUUAUAUUGUGAUUUUGGUCUAUCAGGAUCAGGAUUUUUGGGAUUUUAGACUUUAGGGAUUUUGAUCUUUUGGGAUUUCAACAUUUGAUAUUACAGCAUUUGCAAUUGUAUCUUUCAGGAGUAUGGCCCAAACCCCAGCCAUGUAGAAAACAAUUUGAUAAUUUCUUAAAAAACUAAACACCCAGCCACUGUUGAAAAUAGUUUGUCAAUUUCUUAAAAAAACUAAACACACUUUUGCCAUACAAUCCAGUAAUCAUGAGCCUUGGUAUUUACUCAGAUGAGUUGAAAAGUUAUGUCCACAUAAAACCUGCAUGCAGAUGUUUAUAGCAGCUUUAUUCAUAAUUGUCAAAAAUUGGAGGCAACCAAAUUGUCUCUUAGUAGGUGAAUGGAUGAAUAAACUGUAGUACAUCCAGACAAUGGAAUAUUUUUCAGUGCUAAAAAGAAAUAAGCUAUCAGCUGGGUGCAGUGGCUCACGCCUAUAAUCCCAGCAGUUUGAGAGGCCGAGGUGGAUGGAUCACUUGUGCCCAAGAGUUCGAGACCACCCUGGCCAACAUGGCAAAAACCCAUCUCUACAAAAAAUACAAAAAUUAGCCAAACGUGGUGGCAUGUGCCUGUAGUCCCAGCUACUUGGGGGGACUGAGAGAGGAGGAUUGCUUGAGCCCGGAAAGGAGAGGCUGUAGUGAGCCAUGUUUGUGCCACUGCAUUCCAGCCUGGGCACAGAGUGAGACCCUGUCUCAAAAAAAAAAAAAAAAAAAAGGAAAAGAAAAAGAAGCCAUCAAGCUGUGAAAAGACAUAGAGAAAUCUUAAAUGCACAUUGCUAAGUGAAAUGAGCCAAUCUGAAAAAGCUAUAUACUAUAUGACUUCAACCAUAUGACAUUCUGGAAAAGACAAAACUAUGGAGACAGUAGAAAGGUCAAUGGUUGUGAGAGAUUGGAGGGAGGGAGGAAAAACUGUGAAGAAUGUAGGGAAUUUUUAGGGCAGUGAAACUAUUCUAUAUGGUACUAUAAUGGUGAAUGAAUGUACUUAUGUGUUUGUCAAAACCCAUAGAAUGUACAACACCAAAAGUGAACUCUAAUGUAAACCAUGGACUUUGGAUGAUAAUAAAAUGUCAAUAUAGGCUAGUUGAUUGUAACAAAGGCAAGAGGUGUUAAUUGUGGGGAGGCUGUGUGUGUGUGUGUGUGUGUAUGUAUGUGUAUGUAUGUGUGUGUGGGAGCAAAAGUCAUAAAAGAAAAUUCUCUGCACUUUCUGCUCUAUUUUGCUGUGAACUUAAAACUGCUCUAAAAAAUAAAGUUGAUUUUUUUAAAAAGCAUGCUAUCAGUAAGCCACCCAGACUUCAAUCUGUUUCACUCUUGAAUGAAUUCACAUCAGGCAUCCUUUUUACAUAACUUUAAAUUGAUUUUUAAGAAUGAGACUUAGAAUAUAAACACUGAUGAUCCUGCCAGACAAAAAAGCUUCUUGUAAACAUAUAUACCAUUAGGAAGCAAAAGAAAGGAGGAAGUUAAACAAAUAAAAGAUACAUAACAAAUAGCUUCAUAUUUAAUGAAUUGAUCCCAGUAUGUCAUUUGGGACUAGCUGACCAUAAAAUAUCCUCCUACUACCCUUGAAAUAUUUUUUCUUGGGUCUUCAGCAUAAUAGCUGUGGAGCUACUGGGUCCAGUUACUGUAUUAUUGGGUGUUUUAUGGGUGCUAUUUGUACACUGUAUCUUUAUUUUAAAAACCUAUUUUGGCUGGGUGCAGUGGCUCACGCCUGUAAUCCCAGCACUUUGGGAGGCCAAUGUGGGUGGAUCACUUGAGGUGAGGAGUUGGAGACCAGCCUGGCCAACAUGGUGAAACCUCAUCUCUACUAAAUAUACGAAAAAUUAGCCAGGCAUGGUGGCAUGUGCCUGUAAUCCCAGCUACUCGAAAGGCUGAGGCAGGAGAAUUGCUUGAAUCCGGGAGGCAGAGGUUGCAGGUAGCUGAGAGCAUGCCACUGCACUCCAGCCUGGGUGACAGAAUGAGACUCCAAUUCAAAAAAAAACAAACCAAACCAAAACAAAAAAAACCUGUUUUGAGAAGUCAGCAAUGGUCAGUUCAAUAUUGGCCAUUAAGUAAUGCAAGCAUUGUAAUGUAAGGUUUGAUUAUUGUAUUUGUGUUACCUAUCAUUUUACAGUACUAAAUUCCCAUAAGCCAUGACAAGUUACCUUUACAAGUUACAUUCAUGUUUUACCUUUCUUUAUAUUGACUAUUCUCUGUUUAUAGAGAAGAGGUGAAUGAGUGAAAUAUUAGCUACUAUAAAAUAAUGGCUACCAUGUCCAUAAAAUAAUAGACUGCCUGGUCUACUAGAUGCCAGUAAUCAUAUUAAUAGCUUUAUAUAAUUAUCUCCUUUAAUCUUUGCAAAAAGUCUGCAUUAUAGUUCUCAGCCCUCUUCUAAAUUGAGGGAACUAAGGUUCAAAGAGAUCAACUAAUUUGGUCAAAGUCACACAGGAAGGCAGUACAGAGUAAUAGUUAAAUGCACAGUCUUUGUGGCCUAAUUCCCUGUGUUAGUAUUCUUGUUCCACCAUUUCCUAAAUCUGUGACCUUAGGCAAGUUAUCUAACUCCUUUAAUGUCAUUUUUCUCAUCUGUAAAAUGAAAGACUAAGUGAAAUAAUUCAUGUAAAGUGCUCAGCACAGUGGCUGGUACAGAGUGAGUACUUCAUAAAUGUUAGUGGUUAUUAAAAGUAAUUGUAUAUUACACAGUCAUUGUAUAUUCUUUUUAUUAUUACAAAUAGGUGACAACAUGGAUUUAAACUUAAGUCUCCCUGGCCCUGAAGUUCCCUUCUUUUCCUUUACUCAACUCUCUCUGUGUAAAUUUUUAGUCAUUGGUGAAGAGAGAACUGAUUCUCCUAAAUGGCUUUACCUCUGUGAAAAAACAGAUUUGCCAGUUUAUCAGUCAGGUUAGGCUAGGUUUGCUGCAUUAAUGAACAACUUUUAUAUAUCCUUAGUUUAUCACAAACAAGUUUAUUUCUCAUUUCCAUUUUAUGUCCUAUGUGGCUUGACUGGGAGACUUCUUUCAUUAUAGUCACCCAGGAAUCUAGGCUGAGGGAUGCUCCAUUUGCCGUAUGUUUUAUCAUGGCCAAGGCAGAAAAAAAGGGAAAUGGUGACUUCUGCACUGGUUCUUAAAUAUUUCUUUUUAGAAGUGACAAGUGCCACUGCUGCUUAUAAUUUCAUUGGUCAAAGCCAGUAGCAUGACCAGGUCUAACUUCAAGGGCUUUAGGAAAGAGAGGAGAAUUAGACAUAAGUGAGCAGCAUUAAUAACUACCACAGCGGCCAGGCACGGUGGCUCACGCCUGUAAUCCCAGCACUUUGGGAGGCUGAGGCGGGCGGAUCACGAGGUCAGGAGAUUGAUACCAUCCUGGCUAACACGGCAAAACGCCAUCUCUACUAAAAAUACAAAAAAAAUUAGGCAGGCGUGGUCGUGGGCCCCUGAAGUCCCAAAAACUCAGGAGGCUGAGGCAGGAGAAUGGCGUGAACCCGGGAGGUGGAGCUUGCAGUGGGCAGAGAUGGCGCCACUGCACUCCAGUCUGGGCGACAGAGCGAGACUCCGUCUCAAAAAUAAAAUAAAAUAAAAUAACUACCACAGCAAAUUGAACUUUUUGAGUUUCCUAAUUUGAUAUUUCUCUUUUUGAUUUCUAAAUUUCUUCUUAUGUGUAUAGAUUCACUUGGUAAAAACCUAAAGAUAACUUCAUAGAAAUAGUUCUCUUUCAGAGAGGUCCAUCGGAAUUAUCUGGAUACAGUUUCCAAAAUGAUGUGCCCAGGCCCCACUCAAGACUUAAUGAAUUGAAAUAUAUGAGAGUCAGGCUCUGGGCGUGUACAUUUUGAAAAACUCCUCGGAUGGUGCUGGCUUGCACUCUGUUGUGUUUAUGCAAUAGUAAACCGAUACGUGUUUUCAAGGAUCUUGCUGAAGACAGAUGGGAGGAAGCAGAGCUGAAAGGAUCAGAAAGAGGAAGGGACAAGGUAGAAAUUACGACUCAAGUGUGGCAGGGUUCUGAGCUCAGACUUAAGCUGUACUUACCUUAGAAGUUCACAUUGGGAGAUAUAUCUGGGCAUGCCUAGAUGACUGGUGGGUCAGUCAUCAGAGUUCCCUUUUUAUAAGGUAACAUGGAUCCUCCUGGGAAAAACUUCAUCUUAAAUUGAGAGACUUUUUUCCCCAAUAUUUAAUUGAAAAAUUUUUAAUCAUACGGAAGGUUGAAAGAAUUUACCCAUCAUUUAGAUUUGAUAGGUGCUAUCAUUUUGCUGUAUUUGCUUUAUUUGCUAAUUUUUAUAGCCACUGAUGAUCAUUACCUGAAUCAAUUAUUUCACUGAGGAGUGGGCAUUGGCAAAUGGUGAUUUUUCCGAUGUAUCAUUUCUUCUACAAUUAUUAUCUACAUUCUUCUAUUAAAAGAGAACUUCCCUUUAUCAAUUGGAGAUGAAGUAAAUUUUCCUAAAAAGACAUCAUAAAUGCUUCAUUAUUUUAAUUUGGAAAGAGUUUUCAGGAACCUAUGUUUGGUUUAAGGACAGUUGACCUACAUUGUAGUGAACAGAUGAGCUGAGUAUAGCAGAGGCUUGUGCAUAUUUUUCUACAGCCCAACCCUCAGAAUGCUAGAGCAAGGUAGCUGCGGUGAAAAAUAGUGUAGAAAUUACAGUGGCUAUAUCACUGAGGACAGAAAGACUUGGCAGCGUGAUCAGAGCUCACUGCAAACUCUGCCUUCCGGGUUCAAGCAGUUCUUUGCCUCAGCCUCCCGAGUAGCUGGGAUUACAGGCGCCUGCCACCACGCCUAGCUAAUUUUUGCAUUUUUAGUAGAGACGGAGUUUCACCAUCGUGGCCAGGCUGGUCUUGAACUCCUGACCUCAUGAUCCACCUGCCUUGGCCUCCCAAAGUGCUGGGAUUACAGGUGUGAGCCACUGCGCCCAGCCCAACAAGGUCCUGUCUAGGUAAAGGAAACGCAUAGGCGAAAGUGAUGGAUAGAAUUUGAAAAGCAGAGAAAAGAUGGCAAGUGGCUCAGAUUGAAAGAGAAAUUCCAAAUAUACUAGUUAACUAGUUGAGGGAACCAGAGAGUCUCUGGAUAUUUAAUGACAAGCUUAAAUAAGCUAAUCUCUGAUGGAAGUCAGCAUUGCAUGAAUGGUUGAAGGGCCAAAAACAUGAUAUAUCCCUUUAUAUGUUUAAGUGUUUUUUUGUGCUUCUCAAUGCCAUGUGAUGUUUUUUAUGGUAAAUACUGAGAUUUAACAAAAUAUAAAUUAAAAGUUUAUUCUUGAUACAAUUAAUAGCUCCUGAAAAGUUAAAAUGAUCUAGAAAUCAGAAUUCUUUUAAUCUAUACUGAAUGUAGGGGUUGUGGUUACUAAAAAUUAGUCAAACCAUAUUUGGGAAUUAAAGAAAUAAUGAUUGCUGGCCAGGUGUGGUGGCUCACGCCUGUAAUCCCAACACUUUGGGAGGCCAAGGCAGGUGGAUCACUUGAAGCUAGGAGUUUGAGACCAGCCUGGCCAACCUGGUGAAAUAUAUAUAUAUAAAUUUGCUGGGUGUGGUGGUGCAUGCCUGCAAUCCCAGCUACUUGGGAGGCUGAGGCAUGAGAAUCACUUGAAUGUGGGAGACAGAGGUUACCGUGAGCCUAGAUCGCACCACUGCACUCCAGCCUGGGUGACAGAGCGAGACUCUGUCUCAAAAAAAAAAAAAAAGAUUGCUUUUUCCCUUUCACUUACCCUUUUUUUUGGAAAGAUAAAACAAAGUGACUUUCUUAUUAUCUCAUGUUUCUUGUAAACAGUGAUUUCUUGGUAGAGAAAUAAAAAUUGUUUCUUAAUUGGGAGAAAAGAAAUUAACAGCUAUUGCUGUGGUUGGUUCUAUUUUUAUUAUUUAUUGGCUAAAUGUACAUAGACUGAAAGGAAAAUUAAAAGACAAACUAUUCACUAAAUCCUGGAAAACAGUAUAUGUUAUAAUCUGCAUUUCAUAAAAUUAAGGGAUAAUUUUAAACAUAUUUCCUCAAACAGUAAUAUAAUUAAGUUAUGCUUAGUAUUCAACUAAGUGAUUAGAAUUCAGUUGUAGUGGUACUUAUCUUUUUAAAAAAUAUAAAAGUUACCAUGUUUUUACAGAGUGGAAAUACAGUAAUUAAUAAAAGUGUUCCAUUGUGUAGGCUAUUUUCUUCCCCCCGAGUGAAGCUAAUCAGUUAGUUUCAUGCUCCAUAUGCAGUCGUUGGAUCAUUUUUAAAUGAUCAAUGAUCAUUCUUAAAUGUGUCAAUGAAAAGCGCCAAACUUUGUCAAAUAUUUGAAGAGAUUUAUUCUGAAACAAAUAAGGGUAGCCAUGGCCUGAGGCACAGUCUCAAGAGGUCCUAAGAACAUGUGCCCAAGGUGGUUAAGUUACAGCUUUAUUUUAUAGGUUUUAUGGAGACAUACACCAUCAAUUAUUACAUGUGAGAUAUACAUUAGUUUGUUCCGGAAAGGUGGGACAACUCAAGAUGGGGAGGGGAAGGAGGGAACUUCCAGGUCAUAAGAUUUUCUGAUUGGCAAUUGAUUGAAAGAGUUAUUAUCUAAAGACCUAGAAUCAAUAGAAUGGAAUGUCUAGGUUAAAAUAAGGGGUUGUGAAGACCAAGGUUUUAUCAUGCAGAUGAAGCCUCCAGGUAGCAGGCUUCAGAGCUCUUAUCAGACCUGAAAAGGUGCUACUCUCUUAGUUAAUUUUCUCUCCUGGAUCAGGAAAAAGACCUGGAAAAGGAAUGGGAAUUCUCUAUAGAAUGCAGAUUUUCCCCACAAGAGACAGCUUUGCAGGGCCACUUCAAAAUAUGUCAAAGAAAUACAUUUUGGGGUAAAAUACUUCAAUUUCUUUCAGGGUCUGCUAUCCAUUAUGUGAUGCUAUACUAGAAUCAGGCUGGAAUUUGGUGUCCUAUUGCUACAAAAAGUCUGUUUUGUCAGUCUUAAGAUCUCCGUUUUAGUGUUAAUGCUGGUCAGCUGUACCUGAAUUCCAAAGCAAGGAGGGUAUAAUGAGGCAUGUCUGACCCCCACUUCUCAUCAUGGCCUGAACUGGUUUUUCAGGUUAAUUCUGGAAUGCCCUUGGCCGAGGGGAGGGUCCAUCAGCUGAUUGGGGAGUUUAGAAUUUUAUUUUUGGUUUAUAAUACUAAUUAUAGUAAAUGAAUAUAAAAAUUUAAAUAAAAUAUUUAAAGCUGGAAUUUCUAAUUUGUUUUGAAAAUUUAAUUAAAUACUGGUAAACAUCUUAUAAAAAUAAAACUAAUUAUGACUCUAGAAUUAACACCCAAAUGUCAGUAUAAAACUGGGACCCCCAAACUCACUAUGCUAAAGAGAAUAACUUGCUUCAUACUUAUUACACCUAGACAUAUACACGCAUAGAUUCAUGAGUAAGUAAUAUGAGCUGGGCAUGGUUGGCUCAUACCUCUGAUCCCAGCACUUUGAGGGGCCAAGGAGGGAGAAUCAUUUGAAGCCAGGAGUUCAAGAUCAGUUCUGGUGUUACAGGAAAAGGGUCCUGAUCCAGAACCCAAGAGAGGGUUCUUGGAUCUUGCACAAGAGAGAAUUCAGGGCAAGUCCACAGAGUAAAGUGAAAGCAAGUUUUACGAAAGUAAAGGAAUAAAAGAAUGGCUACUUCCAUAGGCAGAGCAAGAGCCUGAGCUGCUAGUUGGCCAUUUUUAUGGUUAAUUCCUGAUUAUGUGCUAAACAAGGGGUGGAUUAUUCAUGAGUUAUCCAGGAAAGGGGGGCAAUUCCUGAAACUGAGGGUUCUUCCCCCAUUUAUUUAUUUAUUUAUUUUUAUUUUUAUUUUUGAGACAGAGUCUCACUCUGUCAACCAGGCUGGAGUGCAGUGGCACCAUCUCAGCUCUCUGCAACCUCUGCCUCCCAGGUUCAAGCAAUUCUCCUGCCUCAGCCUCCCGAGUAGCUGGGACUAUAGGUGUGUGCAAUCAUGCCCGGCUAAUUUUUGUAUUUUUAGUAGAGACGGGGUUUCACCAUAUUGGCUAGGCUAGUCUUGAACUCCUGACUUCGUGAUCUGCCCACCUCAGCCUCCCAAAGUGCUGGGAUUACAGGUGUGAGCCACUGUGCCCGGCCAGUCCCCUUUUGGACCAUAUAGGGUAACUUCCUGAUGUUGCCAUGGCUUUUGUAAACUGUCAUGGUGCUGGUGGGAGGGUCUCUUAGCAUGCUAAUGCAUUUAAUUAGUGUAUAAUGAGCAUUGAGGAUGAUCAGAGGUCACUCUUGUUGCCAUCUUGGUUUUGGUGGGUUUGGCCAGCUUCUGUACCACAACCUACUUUAUUGGCAAGGUCUUUAUGACCUAUAUCUUGUGCCGACCUCCUGUCUGAACCUGUGACUAAGAAUGCCUUAACCUCCUGGGAAUGCAGCCCAGUACCUCUCAGCCUUAUUUUACCCAGCCCCUAUUAAAGAUGGAGUCACUCUGGCUUAAAUGCCUCUGACACUGGCAACGUAGUGCGAUGCAGACUUAAAAAAAAAGGUAUUAGCCAGGCAUGGUGGCUCAUUCCUAUAGUUCCAGCUAGUCAGGAGGCUGAGGUGGGAAAAGCUCUUCAGCCCAGGAAUUUGAAUUUGCAGUGAGAUAUGAUUAUUGCCGCUACAUUCCAGCCUGGAUGACAGAGCAAGACCUUGUCUCUAAAAAAAAUUAAAAAAAACAUUUUUUAAGUGUAAUAUGAAUUGUUUAAUAUUACAGACUGUUUCUCAGCUACCAUGAAUAACAGUGCUGAAUAGUAUAGCAAUCAGUGAUUAUCACUGGAUAUUCCAAGUGAAACCUGAAGAGAAGCCAAAAAAAAAAAAAAAGGGACAUUUGACACUCUGAGACAUUGGUAAAGUAUCUAUUUCAUUCAUGCUCUCAGAGAGGAAGGAUUUGUCAAACUAUUUGUAUUUUCUCUUACUAAAGUGUUUCUACUUUUGUCCAAAUUUUCUCUGUUGUCCAAAGCACAGUCUUGGACAGCAGAGGCACAACUCACACACCUACAUAGAAUGCCAGGGUAGUCACCUUUUUUCUUUUUCUUUUUUUUUUUUUUUUUGAGACGCUCUGUUGCCCAGGCUGGAGUGCAGUGGUGUGAUCUUGGCUCACUGCAACCUCUGCCUUCCGGGUUCAAGUGAUUCUCGCGCCUCAGCCUCCUGAGUAGCUGGGAUUACAGGCGUGUGCCCCCACACCUGGCUAAUUUUUGUAUUUUUAGUAGAGGCGGGGUUUCACCAUGUUGGCCAGGCUGGUCUCAAACUCCUGACCUCAAGAGAUCCAACUGCCUUGGCCUCUCAAAGUACUGGGAUUACAGAUGUGAGCCACUGUGCCCAGCCAGUCACCUUUUAUUUUGAGCAAGAGCUGUGGAGAAACAUUUACUUGGAGCCUAAAUGAAGUUAGUGUCACAAAAGGGAAUGUUUAAGGUUAUAGAUUGCACUGUGGCAGCUCUGAGUGCUGGAUGGUGAGUGACAUACACCAGUGUGUUUUUUCAUAAGUUGAUAGCCCUCUCUUGAUGAUACAUAGGGCCCUGUAAUGUAUGGGGCCUAGGCGCCCAGUUCUAAGAUUGGCAUUGAGUCUUAGCAUUAAGUAUGCACAUGUUCAGAUCAUGCUCCUAUUUUCCAGUAGAGUAAUUAUUCCCACAGCUGUUUCUUUUACUUUUUCUUUUUCCUUUUUAUUGAGACAGGAUCUCAUUCUAUCACCCGGGCUGGAGUGUGGUGGUGUCAUCAAGGCUCACCGCACCCUCAACCUCCUGGGCUCAGGUGACUCUUCUGCCUCAGCCUCCUGAGUAACUGGGACCACCACUGCAUGCUAUACCUGGCUAAUUUCUUUUUAAAUUAUUUGUAGAGACAGGGUUUCAUUAUGUUGCUCAGGCUGGUAUCAAACUCCUGGGCUCAAGCAAGCCUCUCACCUCGGACUCCCAACGUGCUAAGAUUACAGGUUUGAGCCACUGUGUCCAGCCACACGGCUGUUUCUAUCAUUCUGUAUUCCAGAGAUCACCAGUUCUAGUCUUCUGCAGGGGUAGUUGCUCAAUGUCAUGAGUAAGAGAGGGGAACUACAGAUCUACCUCCUUUUAAGUUUUGUAUUAAUUUUUUUUUUAAUUUUGAAAUAAUUUUAGAUUUAUAAAAGAGCUGCAAAGAUGGUACAGAGAGUUCCUGUGUACUCUUCAUCAAGCUUCACCUGUUGUUAACAUCUUUCAUAAUCAUGGUGCAUUUAUUGAAACUAAGAAAUUAACAUGAGUAUGAUGCUAUGAACUAAACCAUAGACUUUAUUAGGAUCUCACCAGUUUUUCUGCUGAUGUCUUUUUUUCUGUUUCAGGAUAUCACAUUGUAUUUGGUCAUCAUGACUCCUUAGUCUCCAAUCUGUGCCAGUUUUUUUGGUCUUGUCUUUCAUGGCCUUGGGGAUUUUUGAAGAAUAAUGGCCAGGUAUUUUGUAGGAUGCCCCUUAACUUAGAUUUGUCUGAUAUUGGGAUUUAUCAUGAUUAGAUUGGGAAUAUGGGUUUGGGGGAAGAAUACUGCAGAGGUGAACUGCCCUUUCCAUUGCAUCAUAUGAGGGGUGCAUGAUAUCCACGUGACUAUGAGUGCUGAUGUUAACCUUGAUCACUUGGUUAAGGUGGUGUCUGAAAGGUUUCCUAGUUACUCUUUUUCCAUACUUUAUUCUUUAGAAGCAAGACACUAAGUACAGCCCAAAAUCAAGGAGUGGAGAAUUUAUUUUAAAACUGCAUUCUACCAAUCCUUAUUUGAUACUCCCCCACCCCACUUCCAAAAGUCCACUUGGUUCCUGAGCCUUUAGAAGAUUCUGUGGUAUACAUCAGCUUAGUUUUUGGCUUUUCCUACUGUAUCCUAAGUCAUUUUUCUGUUUUCCAGUCUCCACAAUUUUGUUGCUAUUGUCUCUUUUUUCUCUCUGUGAGUUUGUGAGUUUUUUUUUUUAAUCCCUUUACUGUAGCUUAGUGGGGCUUCGGAGAGAUUAAAACUGUAUUUUUAUGUUCAAUCUGCCUUCUUUAUUUGGAAGCUCUGGGAGAAAUAUUUUUUUUUUUGAGACGGAGUCUCAUUCUGUCACCCAGGCUGGUGUGCAGUGGCGUGAUCUCAGCUCACUGCAAACUCCACCUCCCAGGUUCAAGCAAUUCUCCUGUCUCAGCCUCCCGAGUAGCUGGGACUACAGGCACAUGCCACCAUACCCGGGUAAUUUUUGUAUUUUUAGUAGAGACGGGGCUUCACCAUAUUGGUUAGGCUGGUCCCGAACUCUUGACCUCAGGUGAUCCAACCCACCUCAGCCUCCCAAAGUGCUGGCAUUACAGGCAUGAGCCACCGCGCCCGGCCAGAGAAACAUUUUAUCAUCAUCAAAAUUGAUAUUUAAUCUGUGUUUAGAUUUGUCAUUUCUGCUUGUCAUAAUUCUGCCAUUGAUAUAAUACAUGAAAUUACUGAAUACUUUUUGGGCACCAUUGUUAUGUUUUGUAAAGCAUUGUGAUCAAUCAGAAAUUCAGUUCCCAGCUAGAGAAGAAACUCUUCUAGUAUUGGCUGGUGUGACUGGCCCUGAUUUUCAAAGGUAAAUUAGGGUUACUGCUAUAAAGCAGGGAUUACAAUGGGGUGCUUCUGUAUACUCCAAUGCCCAGUUACUAAGGUUACCAAAAAACAAAGUGGGUUUGGGCACCUCAGGAGUCAAAGUUUGAGUCAGUCCACCAGGCAAAGAACCUUAACUGGCAUAAGCUAGCCAAAGGCAACCUAAACUUGAAUGGGUAGAGGAGGGGAGUUACAAUAUCCACUAUGGUUUCUUGACCAGUUACAUAAAGGAGGACUGUAGCUCUCUGUGUAUCUGCUCUCUCUCCUUUCUUUUUCACCUUUUGUUUUCCUACAAUUUUAUAGAGUGUUUUGAUAUCAGAAAUGUUUACCAUUUAGUGACUGAGUUGCACUUUUUUAUUUUUUAUGCGUUUUUAUAAUUUUUAUUACUUUUUCAAUAAAGAUAAUGUAUCUGUUACUACAUCUGUGUAAUACAUCUGUAUGGCUUAUAAAUACCAUUCUAUACUGUACUCAGAACAGCAGAUACUGUUCUGUACUCUGCUUUCCUCGCUGCAUGAUAUAUAUUAGUGCAUAGGAAGAGUCCUUUUUUUCAGCUCUGUAGAUGUACCAAUAUUUAUUUAACCAAUGCCCUAUAGAAAAUGUCUUGGGUUUGUUUCUCAUUUUUGGCUUUACAAACAAUACUGCAGUGAAUAACUUCAUAUGAACCUCAUUGUAUAGGUUUGUAGGUAUAUUUGCGUAAACAUUCUCAGAAGUAGUAGAGUUGUAGAGUAUCAGUUUAGUAUUAUAAUAUAUCUAGAGUGGGAUUAUCUAUCAUCUGUUUUAAUAUGGACAAUCAGGAAAAUAGCAAUCAUUUCUAGUACUUACAACAGGGAAAAUUUAAUGCAGGAAAGUGGUUACCAGGUGUUGGAGGAACUGAGCACCUAAUGGAGAAAGGGGAGCAAUUCAGAUAUUAGUAACAACAGAAAACCAUUGCCUGUAGCCUGGAAAGACAAAAGAAGACAAGAAUCACUGAAUUCUGGAGCUGGAGGUCAUUUACUGGAGGCUAGGGCCUCUACGGACCUGUGUGAUGAGAACUGGAGCUGCUGAGGAGAUGCAGUCACUGCCAGAGAAGUGACUGAGUUAGAAGAGGAAGGGGGAGAAAUGUGCUGGUUUAUUCCUUCCCUCCUCAUCCUCCAAUCUUUGAGAAACCAGCUGAUAUGAGUCUGGGAAUCGCAGUCAAUGGAUCAACCCCUUGCGAUACAAAACAGAGCAGGGAAGGGCAAGGAAUGCAUUUGAGGACAAAUGGAUUCAGAAUCCAUAUUGUUCACCCCUUCUGCUACUCAGCAUUCAAGUUCACCCUUCUACCCAUGUUUAAUACCAUCAUACUUCUGUCUGUCAUACAAACAAGAGGAGAGACACCAAGUCCCAUCAAUCAUUGUAUCCAUCUCAAGUUUGGGAUCUACUGGUGAUCCUCAUUCCUUCCCAUCAGGUCUGGAUGUGUCUUUUUGUGGCCUGGUGACCUACGAACUAAAUUGUAAAUUAAGCAACCACUGACACUUUCCAUGCAAAACUGUGGGGGAAGGGGAAGGGGAAGGGGACAAAAUAGAAAUCGUUGGUUAAUAGAUACAUAACAAAUACACGUGAAUGCUACAAUUCUUGUUGCUAUAAAAAGUCGCAAGGAUGAAGUUGAUUUUUAUCAUUUCCUUUUUCUACCACUUAUUCCAUAUUUCCUUUGCUUUUAGCUAGGACUGCAAAUGGUUUGGGUUCUUUACUUGCAGGAUGAUUGUAUCAGUCAGGAUAAAGCCAGAACAACAGAAACCACACUUGGUAUUUCAACAGAGAUAAUUUAACAUAAGGAAUUGGCUACGGAGUUUUGGGGAACCAAAAAAGCAAAAAAAAAAAAAAAAAAAACCAAAAAAACAGGUCGGGGCAGAUAUUGAACAUAGAUAUAGUAACUAUAGGAAGAAGCUACCACUCCUAUGGCUGAGGACACAAAAGGAAGUUUGCACCAAAGGAAACUUAAAGGAGAGGCAUCUCAGACUUCUGAGGAGGGGCCACUGCCUAACUCUUGCUGGCUCAUUGAUGAGACAUGUUGAGGCUGGUUCUAGGAAUGCCAAAAAAAAGUUGAGUGUUAGAAAUGAUAGCCACUUGUCAGGAAGGAAGCAUAUCCUGUCUCACUCCUUCUGCCUUGAAGAACUAACAGGAAGCCAACUGGCAAAGUAGAAAUAUAGCUCUCAUAGUCCCAGCCCCGUGGUCAUAAAGAAGAGUAUAAAUGUGUGAGUUUGGACUGAGAGAAAAUGGCAUAACAACUGGGACAGCUCAUUACUUUGCUUACUCAAUAUUCAUGCACAACUUUCUCUGUAUAUUUGAGCUUCUCAUAUAGCAAUUUAAAAAUGGCAGCUUUUUCUUUAACAAGAUACAGCUACCCUUUGUAGAAAUUGACACUCUUGGCCGGGCACAGAGACUCACGCCUGUAAUCCCAGAACUUUGGGAGGCCGAGGCAGGUGGAUCGCUUGAGCCCAGAAGUUCAAGACCAGUCUGGGCAACAUGAUGAAACCCCAUCUCUACUAAAAAUAAAAAAAAUAGCUGAGCAUGGUGGCACAUGCCUGUAAUCCCAGCUACUCAGGAGGCUGUGGCACGAGAAUAGCUUGAACCUGGGGGGUGGAGGUUGCAGUGAGUGGAGAUUGUGCCAUUGCACUCCAGCCUGGGUGACAGAACAAGACUCGGUCUCAAAAAAGUAAAUAAACAUAAAAAAAUAAAUUGACACUCUCACCCUUUCCCCAUAAACGGAUGAUCCCAAAUUAUAUUAAUCUCUGGAUUAUGUGUUAAUUACUCCUCAAUUCAGUAAAGUCCCUUAUGAACCUUCUGUAACCUAAAGAUGAAAUUGUAAAGUUAACAAUUGCCAUUAAUUUUUAAAAUUACAGUGGGAAAGGAGAAGAAAAAAAGUUAAUAUAUACAGAAAUACAUAAAUACACACAUAUACAUUAAGCAAGUAAGAAAUAAUGCUUAGUUAUUAGUCUUUGUAUCUGUCUAGUCAUGAGCCUGUGGUUAGUGUCCCUUCCUCCCCAGCUCAUUUCAUGCUUCCUGUACUCUGAGCCAGUAUAUACCAAGUGGUGUGAUCCAAACUGUCAUUCCUGAAGGGUCUGAAUUGUCAGUGGUCCUGUCUUUUCUUGGUUAUCGUAGUUUACCAUUAACUUUUACUGUCAGCGAUGGGAAUAUAGGGGUGCCAUGUUGCCAUGAAUGACAGCAUCCCCAUAUAUAGUCCUUCGUGGCCUCAUUUUGUAGCAGCAACCCAAUGUUUCUUUAGUUGUCAGGAUCAAUCACUCCAGCCAGUAAUUCCCUUCUUUGCCCAUUGGUUCAGUUGCAUGUGGAGUCUAAAAUGGCCAUUUAGCUGUUAGAAAUUCAAUGGAAACUGUCUUGGGAAUAAAGCAGAGUUCAAAUUACGGGAAGCAGAAUUCUGUGAAGAAGUAUAACAGUGAGAGAAGCCACUUUCCCUUUUGCUCUUUGAUUACGGACUUGUGUCUUGUGGCUUUGGGAGAAAUAGUGCCAUACAUUGGUCAAUGGCUCAAAGCAUAUGUUGUUCUUUGAAGACAGUCCCAGCCUUACAAAAUGUUUCUCAGCUCAUGUUGUAACUGAGUCUGUAGUAGGCCAUUCCAUUGUUAUAUCGGGCCAGAUAUUUCUAGAUGGUGGGGUGUGCAGUAAGGCUAGUUAUUUCCAUGAUUUGCAAACUCUAAUUACACUUCUAAGAUGUGUUCCUUAGAAGCUGUGUUGAGUAGGAUACCAUGAUAUUGAGUAAGGAAUUAUGUGGUAGUGUUGGCAGAAACACAAUGGGCAGAAGAGGCAAAUCUAUACACAGAAUAGUUGUCUAUUCUAGCACAAACAAAUGGCUUUCAUUUCCAUGAUGGAAGGGGUGCUUUAUAAUCAACCUACCAACACAGAGUUGGCUGAUCCCCUUGGGAAAUGGUGCCAUAUUGGAGACUCACAGUUUAGAUUCUGUUCUUGAUAAUUUGGGAACUCAACAGUGCCAACAGUCAGAUUAGCUUGGUAAGGGGAAGUCCAUUUUGUUGGGUCUGUGCUUCAUUUCUGCCACUAUGGCCAUUUUGUACACAAGCCCAUUAAAACAGAAGAUGAGGAAAGGUGCUGACUGAUAAUCCCAGAACAAGUCACUUUGUUCACCCCUAUUAUUGAGGCCUCCUCUACAAUGGAUGUACCUUGGUAAGCACUCACACAAAUUCCUUCACAUUUAGUGCCCAUUCUGAAAGAUCUGUGCAUGUGUCUCUUCUUCAGUCUUCCUUGUUAUCAAUCUUCCAGGCUUGUUCUUUUCAAUUUCCUGACCAGGUGACCAAAGCAUUAUUCACUGUCCACAGAUGAGUGUACAUCUGUACCACAGGCCACCCCUCUUUCCUGGCUGAGGGGACUUCAAGGUAUACUGCCAAAACUUCUGCCCUCUUGGAGGGUUUUCCUUCACCAUUCCCCUUCAGUGGCAUCUCUGAGGGAGUAUACUGGUACUAGUGUAAUGUGGACACACUUCUGUGAACCAGGCCCAAGUUGGUUUAAAAAAUUUUUUAAAUUUUUUAUUUAAAAGAUUUUAAAUUGACACAUAAUAAUUGUACGUAUUUAUGAGGUACAUAGUUAUGUUGUGAUACAUACAAUGUAUAGUGAUCAGAUCAGGGUAAUUAGCAUAUCCAUCACCUCAAACAUUUAUCAUUUCUUUGUGUUGGGAACAUUCAAUAUUCUUUUUCUAGCUAUUUGAAACUAUAAGAUAUUGUUAAUUAUAGUCAUCCUAUGGUGGCAUAGAACACUAUAACUUAUUUCUCCUAUCUAUUUGUUUCCUUUAACAAAGCUCUAUCUCCCUCUUCCCCCUACUCUUCUCAGCCUUUAGUAUCCUUUGUUCUACUUUUUACUUCUAUGAGAUCAACUUUUUUUAGCUUCCACAUGUGAGUGAGAACAUGCAGUGUUUGACAUUCUGUUCCUGGCUUAUUUUGCUUAACGUAAUGUCCUCCAUUUCCAUCCAUGUUGCCCCGAAUUACAGGAUUUUAUUCUUUAUUAUGGCUGAAUAGUACUCCAUUGUGUGUGUGUGCAUAUAUAUAUAUA